AGUGAACGCUGGCGGUAGGCCUAACACAUGCAAGUCGAACGGCAGCACAGUAAGAGCUUGCUCUUACGGGUGGCGAGUGGCGGACGGGUGAGGAAUACAUCGGAAUCUACUUUUUCGUGGGGGAUAACGUAGGGAAACUUACGCUAAUACCGCAUACGACCUACGGGUGAAAGCAGGGGAUCUUCGGACCUUGCGCGAUUGAAUGAGCCGAUGUCGGAUUAGCUAGUUGGCGGGGUAAAGGCCCACCAAGGCGACGAUCCGUAGCUGGUCUGAGAGGAUGAUCGGCCACACUGGAACUGAGACACGGUCCAGACUCCUACGGAGGCAGCAGUGGGGAAUAUUGGACAAUGGGCGCAAGCCUGAUCCAGCCAUACCGCGUGGGUGAAGAAGGCCUUCGGGUUGUAAAGCCCUUUUGUUGGGAAAGAAAAGCAGCAGGUUAAUACCCCGCUGUUCUGACGGUACCCAAAGAAUAAGCACCGGCUAACUUCGUG
Molecule: ribosomal RNA, 491 nt
Filed under: uncultured bacterium
Lineage: Bacteria
Description: partial 16S ribosomal RNA
Rfam family: Bacterial small subunit ribosomal RNA
Source: RNAcentral